UACGGAGGGGGCAAGCGUUGUUCGGAAUUACUGGGCGUAAAGGGCGCGUAGGCGGCCUGCUAAGUCGAACGUGAAAUCCCUGGGCUCAACCCAGGAACUGCGUCCGAUACUGGCUGGCUUGAAUCCGGGAGAGGGAUGUGGAAUUCCAGGUGUAGCGGUGAAAUGCGUAGAUAUCUGGAGGAACACCGGUGGCGAAGGCGACAUCCUGGACCGGCAUUGACGCUGAGGCGCGAAAGCCAGGGGAGCAAACGGG
Molecule: ribosomal RNA, 253 nt
Filed under: uncultured bacterium
Lineage: Bacteria
Description: partial 16S ribosomal RNA
Rfam family: Bacterial small subunit ribosomal RNA
Source: RNAcentral